UUUUAUGGUCACGUAUUAUCCGAUAAACGAUAGAGGCAAGGCUCUAAUGGUACAUAUUUAAAUAUCAAUAUUUUGUAAUUUCUUUUUUUUUCAUUAUUAAUUCAUUUAUUUAAUGUUUAUAAUAGUCGGAUUAUGAAACGUACAAAAAAGAAAUUUUGGAUAAACAACAAACAAUAGAUGAAGACGAGGAUGAGGAGUCAACAGACGAAGAAGAUAUGUCAACACAAGGAUCGAUCUCCUACAGGCGAAAAAAGACGCUAUUCACUGAUGACAGUCUGGAAGCUUGGAUUAAGGCUACAGGAGGCUAAACAAAGGGCCGUAUUCUCGGAUUGAGACCGGGGGACAAUUCAUUGACGCCAAAGAAAUCCAAAGCUAAAUUGAAUCGCCAAACAAGAGAAGAAAUAGAAAAUAAGAAAAAAGAAGAAUUCGAUAAUCGAGUUCAAAAAGCCCAAAAAGCCGUGAACAUGCAAUUAGAGACGGUCGUUAGCCAGAGAUUAGAUUCGGCCGUUAACCAGAGAUUCGAGACGGUUAACCAACAAAUGACGGCCUUGAUACAAAAACAGAAAGACUUGUU
Molecule: long non-coding RNA, 574 nt
Filed under: Zostera marina
Lineage: Eukaryota; Viridiplantae; Streptophyta; Magnoliopsida; Alismatales; Zosteraceae
Description: long non-coding RNA (ZMAR_LNC002783)
Source: RNAcentral